This 68-nucleotide transfer RNA is filed under the name Afroedura langi. RNAcentral's name for it is "tRNA-His". It matches the Rfam family "tRNA". From Rfam's summary of the family: Transfer RNA (tRNA) molecules are approximately 80 nucleotides in length. The record is from RNAcentral. Lineage: Eukaryota; Metazoa; Chordata; Lepidosauria; Squamata; Gekkonidae.
GUCAACAUAGUUUAACAAAACAUUAGACUGUGGGCCUAAAGAUAGAAAUCAACAUUUCUUGUUGACCC